RNAcentral lists this transfer RNA (66 nucleotides) under Necrodes littoralis. RNAcentral's name for it is "tRNA-Asn". The record is from RNAcentral. Lineage: Eukaryota; Metazoa; Arthropoda; Insecta; Coleoptera; Silphidae.
UUAAUUGAAACCAAAAUAGAGGUAAAUCACUGUUAAUGAUUAAAUUGAGAAAUUUCUCCAAUUAAG